This 253-nucleotide ribosomal RNA is filed under the name uncultured bacterium. Its description in RNAcentral is "partial 16S ribosomal RNA". It matches the Rfam family "Bacterial small subunit ribosomal RNA", at positions 524 to 776 of the family's 1533-position model. The record is from RNAcentral.
UACGUAGGGGGCGAGCGUUGUCCGGAUUCAUUGGGCGUAAAGAGCUCGUAGGCGGUUCAGUAAGUCGGGUGUGAAAUCCUACAGCUUAACUGUAGAACUGCCUUUGAGACUGUCAAUCUUGAGUACGGAAGAGAGAGAUGGAAUUCCAGGUGUAGUGGUGAAAUACGUAGAUAUCUGGAAGAACACCAGUGGCGAAGGCGGUCUCUUGGUCCAUUACUGACGCUAAGGCGCGAAAGCGUGGGGAGCAAACAGG